ACAGUUGAGGGAACACUUCGCUACUCGCCAUGAAGUCGGUUGUGUUCGGUCUGAUGCUGCUGGUGCUGGCGCUGCUGGCUAUCAGCCAAUCGGAAGCCACUGGGUUCGGAUACAGGAGAUACCCGUACUACGGUGGCUACGGACUGGGAUACGGCGGGCUGGGCGGCUUCGGACGCUACAGCAGUUACGGAUACGGCUAUCCGGGCUUCAGCUACUACGGCUGAUCUCUUCUGUAGCUCGCGACGUUGCGUGUCUUGGUGUGCCAGCCAGGGAGGCCAUUGACCUCCGAUGCAAAUGCUGAUGUAAGAUGGUUUUACCCGUAUUUUACUGGCAUUUUUAUGUGGUGGUUUUGGCACCAGAAUUCGAAUAUGGUGGAGGUAAAUCUCUCGCCAGGUAAUGUCAUCUGGCUCCCCCUGCGAUGAGGUGUUUUGAGUAAUGUGUCUUACAUGUAACGUUCAUACCACAAUAUCAAAUACAUUCGUUGGUUACUGAA
This 493-nucleotide unclassified non-coding RNA is filed under the name Amphibalanus amphitrite. Its description in RNAcentral is "protein NYNRIN-like, transcript variant X2". The record is from RNAcentral. Lineage: Eukaryota; Metazoa; Arthropoda; Thecostraca; Balanomorpha; Balanidae.